UGUCUCCUACGGGACGCAGCAGUAGGGAAUCUUCCACAAUGGACGAAAGUCUGAUGGAGCAACGCCGCGUGAGUGAAGAAGUAUCUCGGUAUGUAAAGCUCUAUCAGCAGGGAAGAAAAUGACGGUACCUGACUAAGAAGCCCCGGCUAACUACGUGCCAGCAGCCGCGGUAAUACGUAGGGGGCAAGCGUUAUCCGGAUUUACUGGGUGUAAAGGGAGCGUAGACGGUGUGGCAAGUCUGAAGUGAAAGCCCGGGGCUCAACCCCGGGACUGCUUUGGAAACUGUCAUGCUGGAGUGCUGGAGG
Molecule: ribosomal RNA, 305 nt
Filed under: uncultured bacterium
Lineage: Bacteria
Description: bacterial SSU rRNA
Rfam family: Bacterial small subunit ribosomal RNA
Source: RNAcentral